UCAACCAGAUUUUUAUAAGUCAGUCGUAACUGUUGGUUGAGUUAUGAUUGUAAGUCAACCGUUGACCCGAAACUCAGCCGUUGUCUCAUAACUCAGCCAUAACGUGAUAUAACUCAGCCGUAACGUACAUUAUGGCUGAGUUAUUGGUGGCACGCGCCUUUUUGACUGACGUGGCAGUAGCAUUUUUCGUAAUUAGUUUUUUCCGGUAACGUGUAAAAAGGGCACGCUGGUAAUUAAAAAACAUUUAAGGAUAAAAAAAAGUUUUGGAUGGUUUCCGUCAAUACAC
RNAcentral lists this long non-coding RNA (286 nucleotides) under Capsella grandiflora. RNAcentral describes it as "long non-coding RNA (CGRA_LNC000897)". Lineage: Eukaryota; Viridiplantae; Streptophyta; Magnoliopsida; Brassicales; Brassicaceae. The record is from RNAcentral.